AUAGGGGAUGGAAAGGGUGAUGGUGCUGGGGUGUGAGUUGUCUGGGUCAACAAGGGUUGUGGGAGUAGAGGCCCUGCUCACAGGUGCUUCCUCUCCUCUCCUUGGGGUGGGGCCAGCCAACAAGCACAAGCCAUGGAUUGAGGCAGAGUACCAGGGUAUCGUCAUGGAGAACGACAACACAGUCCUCCUGAAUCCACCACUCUUUGCUUUAGACAAGGAUGCCCCACUGCGCUAUGCAGGUGAGAUCUGCGGCUUCCGGCUCCAUGGGUCCGGGGUGCCCUUUGAGGCUGUGAUCCUUGACAAGGCGACAGGAGAGGGGCUGAUCCGGGCCAAGGAGCCUAUGGACUGCGAGGCCCAGAAGGAACACACCUUCACCAUCCAGGCCUAUGACUGUGGCGAGGGCCCCGACGGGGCCAACACCAAGAAGUCCCACAAGUGAGGAAGUCCUUGUCUCCUGCCCCACGUGUUGCAGGGUCCUCCUCCCUGCUCCCAAGCCCACCAUCCUCUGUCCGUGCAGUCAUCGAAUAUCCACCCCCACCCACUGCUGUUCCUA
RNAcentral lists this small RNA (553 nucleotides) under Pongo abelii (Sumatran orangutan). Its description in RNAcentral is "retained intron". The record is from RNAcentral. Lineage: Eukaryota; Metazoa; Chordata; Mammalia; Primates; Hominidae.